This 145-nucleotide transfer RNA is filed under the name Bacteriophage sp. Its description in RNAcentral is "tRNA-Gly". The stretch from base 38 to 103 matches the Rfam family "tRNA". RNAcentral also lists the same sequence under 1 other name. The record is from RNAcentral.
GCAGGAUUAGUGUUAGCGGUUAGCACGACGGUCUUCCCCUUUAAUAGUUUAAUGUAAAACCAAUAUGAAAAUAUUGAUGUAAGUUCAAAUCUUAUUUAAAGGUCCAAAACCGUAAGGGCGAGUUCGAAUCUCGUAUCUUGCUCCA